RNAcentral lists this transfer RNA (74 nucleotides) under Ovis aries (sheep). It matches the Rfam family "tRNA". Rfam says of the family: Transfer RNA (tRNA) molecules are approximately 80 nucleotides in length. Their secondary structure includes four short double-helical elements and three loops (D, anti-codon, and T loops). Lineage: Eukaryota; Metazoa; Chordata; Mammalia; Artiodactyla; Bovidae. The record is from Rfam by way of RNAcentral.
UCCCUGGUGGCUCAGACAGUAAAAGCAUCUACCUACAAUGUGGGGAUACCCAGGUUCGAUUCCUGGGCUGGGAA